AUUCGGUUGACGAGUCCCAAAUAGGACGAAACGCGCGUUCUGGAU
This 45-nucleotide non-coding RNA is filed under the name Schistosoma curassoni. The record is from RNAcentral. Lineage: Eukaryota; Metazoa; Platyhelminthes; Trematoda; Strigeidida; Schistosomatidae.